CCUACGGGGGGCAGCAGUGAGGAAUAUUGGUCAAUGGGCGAGAGCCUGAACCAGCCAAGUCGCGUGAGGGAGUACUGCCCUAUGGGUUGUAAACCUCUUUUGUCGGGGAGCAAAAGCCGGACGUGUCCGGCUGUGAGAGUACCCGAAGAAAAAGCAUCGGCUAACUCCGUGCCAGCAGCCGCGGUAAUACGGAGGAUGCGAGCGUUAUCCGGAUUUAUUGGGGUUAAAGGGUGCGCAGGCGGAUUUUUAAGUCAGCGGUCAAAUCGUGGGGCUCAACCCCAUCCAGCCGUUGACACUGGGGAUCUAGAGUGUGCGAGAGGUAUGCGGAAUGCGUGGUGUAGCGGUGAAAUGCAUAGAGAUCACGCAGAACCCCGAUUGCGAAGGCAGCAUACCGGUGCACAACUGACGCUCAGGCACGAAAGCGUGGGUAUCGAACAGGAUUAGAUACCCCAGUAGUC
RNAcentral lists this ribosomal RNA (458 nucleotides) under uncultured bacterium. Its description in RNAcentral is "partial 16S ribosomal RNA". It matches the Rfam family "Bacterial small subunit ribosomal RNA", at positions 338 to 795 of the family's 1533-position model. The record is from RNAcentral.